RNAcentral lists this ribosomal RNA (450 nucleotides) under uncultured bacterium. Its description in RNAcentral is "partial 16S ribosomal RNA". It matches the Rfam family "Bacterial small subunit ribosomal RNA", at positions 354 to 796 of the family's 1533-position model. The record is from RNAcentral.
GUGGGGAAUAUUGGACAAUGGGCGAAAGCCUGAUCCAGCCAUGCCGCGUGUGUGAAGAAGGUCUUCGGAUUGUAAAGCACUUUAAGUUGGGAGGAAGGGCAGUAAGUUAAUACCUUGCUGUUUUGACGUUACCGACAGAAUAAGCACCGGCUAACUUCGUGCCAGCAGCCGCGGUAAUACGAAGGGUGCAAGCGUUAAUCGGAAUUACUGGGCGUAAAGCGCGCGUAGGUGGUUUUGUAAGUUGGAGGUGAAAUCCACGGGCUCAACCUGGGAACUGCCUCCAAAACUGCAUGACUAGAGUACGGUAGAGGGUAGUGGAAUUUCUUGUGUAGCGGUGAAAUGCGUAGAUAUAGGAAGGAACACCAGUGGCGAAGGCGACUACCUGGACUGAUACUGACACUGAGGUGCGAAAGCGUGGGGAGCAAACAGGAUUAGAAACCCGGGUAGUCC